RNAcentral lists this ribosomal RNA (464 nucleotides) under uncultured bacterium. RNAcentral describes it as "partial 16S ribosomal RNA". It matches the Rfam family "Bacterial small subunit ribosomal RNA", at positions 28 to 507 of the family's 1533-position model. The record is from RNAcentral.
GACGAACGCUGGCGGCGUGCUUAACACAUGCAAGUCGAACGGUAAGGCCCUUUCGGGGGUACACGAGUGGCGAACGGGUGAGUAACACGUGGGUGAUCUGCCCUUCCCUUUGGGAUUAGCCUGGGUAACUGGGUCUAAUACCGGAUAGGACUACGCGAUGCAUGUCGUUUGGUGGAAAGCUUGUGCGGUGUGUGAUGUGCCCGCUGCCUAUCAGCUUGUUGGUGUGGUGAUGACGUACCAAGCCGACGACGGGUAGCCGGCCUGGGAGGGUGUCCGGCCACACUGGGACUGAGAGACGGCCCAGAAUCCAACGGGAGGCAGCAGGGGAGAGUAUUGCACAGUGGGCGCAAGCCUGAUGCAGCGACCCCGCGUGGGGGAUGACGGCCUUCGGGUUAUAAACCCCUUUCAGCACAGACGAAGCGUAAGUGACGGUAUGUGCAGAAGAAGCACCGGCCAACUACGUG